GUUCUUUACUCAAAUCUAGAUGAAAAGGUUUAAAUACAAAUCUUCUCAAAGAAAGAUGAGAAGUUGAAUAUUCGUGCAAAUUUUCCUUCUACCAGAUUCUUUUAGAUUCUUUCUUCACAUACACAAAAGAUGGAGACAGAAAAAGAGAGGAACAUUAAUGGAGUAAGGCUUUCACAAGCAGCAGUGUCUUCACAAUUUGCCUGGAAUUUUUUGGUCUCAUUUAUUAUUAAUUAUGGAUAUGGAAGUAUUUUAUUUAUGUUGUUGGUUGUCUUUGUUGUUUCACACAACAGUUGACUUUUAGUGUGCAUUUUGCACUAAAAUUCUUUGCUAAGAAAUUCAGAGGAAGUUUAAAAUGCACACUCAAAUUAAGUCAUAUUAUUCGUGAUAGAGUCAAUAAUUAAAGGAAUUGCAAGGUAGAUUAUAGUCUUAGGUUUUCUUUAAAAUCUAAAUGCUAAAUUCAAUAAAAUGUCUUCAUUUUGAUGUGAUCUGUUUUCCACAAAGUAUCCAUAGUCUGCUAAGCAUAGAACGUUAGUGUUGAGGCUUUUUCGUUUCCGUAAUUUGGCAAGUGGGAGGGACUGGUGCCCAGCAGUUUCUUCACUCCUGUAGCUUGGUGAGUGGAAAAGAGUGUUACAGCUCUUUUACUCCCACCGCCUGCAGUUCAAUGAGUGAGAGCAUUACAGCUCUUUUACUCCUGUAGUUUGGCAAGUUCCAGGUUCUUGUCCUGCAACCAAGAGGAAUAAGGUAGGUGGACACCAGAGAGUGAGUAAGGCAAAGUAGAAUUUUAUUGAGUGACAGAAAGAAAGCUCUCAGCAGCAAGAGGGGGCCCAAAAGUGGGUUGUCGUCUGUGAGGCUGAGUGCAGGAUUUUGAUGGGCUUGGGAUGGGGGAAUGUGUGCUGAUUGGUCCAUGGGUGGGCUUGGAUAAGGCAACAUUUAACUGGUUAAAAGACAUCAUUCAG
Molecule: long non-coding RNA, 956 nt
Filed under: Homo sapiens (human)
Lineage: Eukaryota; Metazoa; Chordata; Mammalia; Primates; Hominidae
Description: HSALNT0205070
Source: RNAcentral